UUUAGAUUAGGCUAAUUGUAAUCAGUUUAAAUUAGUCGAGCCAUCAGCUCAGUCAUCUGCAAGUAAGCUUUUUCAUAACAGAUUAGUAGUUGACUUGGGCGGUUAAGAAACACCAGGAGCAACUAAAAAUUUCAGGCUAAUUGUUUGCGCAGGAAAAAAAAAAUAGGCCCAUUGACAUUUGCCAACAAGUCCAAAUGAAAAACAAAAAAGUUGUGACCUUCCUUGAUUUGGCGCCAAAACCCGCGACGAUUGCAGCAGUGUGAGAGUGAUGGAGGUGCAGUUGCAGAGCGAUCCAUGGGAGUGGGAGAAGCCAAUGGCCACUUAUCUGCUCCGCUACCACUCCGACCAGCUCCGAUCCAUCGCUUCCUCUCCCGAUCCCAAUCUUCACUAUCCUCUCUUCAUUGACUUCGCAGAGUUGAUGGAGGAACAUCCUCACCUUGCGCGUCUCAUAUUCUCCCAACCCACCCCUUACUUGCAAGCCUUCGACAAUGCUGCUCUCUUGUCUCAUAGAAUUGUGGUGAGAGAUUUAGAGCAAGAGAAGAAUGUUGUUGAGAAAAAUUUCAUUCAUGUUCGAAUUAACAUCAGUGGUUCUCCCCUUGAAUGCUCUGAGACGUUUCCGACCAUAGGGCGUGUUCGAGUGCAGCAUCGCGGAAUUCUUCUCACUGUGAAAGGGACUGUAAUCAGGUCUGGAGCAAUCAAGAUGCAUGAAGGAGAGAGGAAGUAUAUGUGCAACCAAUGCAAGAAGAGCUUCACAGUUUAUCCUGAGGUUGAAGCUCGAAACUCCAUAUCAUUACCUUCAAUUUGCCCCAUGCAGAAAUUGAAGCCCUGUGGAGGCACAAAAUUUCAGUAUGUAGAAAAUACUGUAGUAUGCCAUGAUUAUCAGGAGAUAAAAAUCCAAGAAAGUACACAGGUGCUAGGUGUUGGGGCCAUUCCUCGUUCAAUUCUUGUCAUCUUGCAUGAUGAUCUGGUUGAUGUUGUUAAAGCUGGAGAUGAUGUGAUUGUCACUGGUCUCUUGACUGCAAAAUGGUCUCCAGAGUUGAAAGAUGUGCGCUGUGACCUUGAUCCUGUAUUAAUAGCCAACAGUGUAAGGAGGACCAAUCAAUUGAAGUCAGAAAUGGACAUUUCUGAUGACUUAGUUACAAAAUUCAAGCAGUUCUGGGACCAUUUCAAAGAUGCACCCUUAAAAGGGAGGAAUGCUAUUCUUCGAGGAAUUUGCCCACAAGUAUUUGGCCUGUUUACUGUCAAGCUGGCCGUUGCAUUAACACUUAUAGGAGGUGUUCAACAUGUUGACGCUUCUGGAACAAGGGUAAGAGGGGAAUCCCACUUACUCUUGGUUGGUGAUCCCGGCACUGGAAAGUCUCAGUUUCUGAAAUUUGCAGCGAAAUUGAGCAAUAGAUCUGUUAUUACCACUGGGCUGGGAAGCACAAGUGCUGGAUUGACGGUUACUGCAGUCAAGGAUGGAGGUGAGUGGAUGUUGGAAGCUGGAGCCCUUGUUUUAGCAGAUGGAGGAUUGUGCUGCAUAGAUGAAUUCGAUAGCAUGAGGGAACAUGACAGGGCAACAAUACAUGAAGCCAUGGAGCAGCAAACAAUAAGUGUAGCCAAGGCUGGUCUUGUAACAACACUCAGCACUAGAACAACGGUAUUUGGUGCCACAAAUCCUAAAGGGCAAUAUGACCCCGAUCAACCUCUGUCUGUCAAUACAACACUCUCUGGUCCUUUACUUAGCAGGUUUGAUAUUGUCCUUGUGCUCUUGGAUACAAAGAAUCCUGAAUGGGAUGCAGUAGUUUCAUCUCAUAUUCUUUCUGAGGCAGAACCUGAUAGAGCCAACAACGAUGAAGAUCUAGCAAAAGUCUGGCCACUUUCUACACUCAAGAGGUACUUACACUAUGUGAAAGAAACUUUCAAGCCAGUACUUACAAGAGAGGCCGAAAGAGUCAUAUCUAGCUAUUAUCAACUUCAAAGGAAGUCUGCAACUCAUAAUGCAGCCAGGACCACCGUCCGGAUGCUGGAAAGUUUAAUACGCCUAGCUCAAGCUCAUGCAAGGCUGAUGUUCAGAAAUGAAGUGACCCGAUUAGAUGCCAUCACAGCAAUUUUAUGCGUAGAGUCCUCAAUGACUACCUCAGCUAUAGUGGAUUGCAUUGGGAAUGCCCUGCACUCCAAUUUUACUGAAAACCCUGAUCAGGAAUGUAUCCUUGCUAGAUGCUAAGCAAGAAAGACUGAUCCUGGAAAAGUUGGGAUCAAUAGAUGACUUCUCUGAUAUGAACAGAAUGGGAGACUGAAGGACAAGGGAGGAUAACAAAAUUGAAGUCCUGUAUAUUGAAUCAUUAAAGUGAUUAUUUUUAGUUAGCUCUGCUAUUAGUUGGCACAGGAUAACAAAAUUGAAGUCUUGUAGAUUAAUCACGAAAGUGAUUACUUUUAGUUAGCUAUGUUAUUUAGUUGGCAUAAGGAAGGGGACAAAACAUUUUAUUUCUCUUACUAGACAAUUAGAUAGAUGCCUUUCCUAUCUUUGUCUUUUCUAUAGUCUUUAUUUACUAUGUACUUUCGGUCUGUUCAGAGGGGCACUCAAUUUGAAUGAUGAUUUUGUUGUAUUAGCCUGAAUAUAAAUGUUUGUAGGUUUGCAACUCUUAUUUGGCAAUUAAAGCGAGUGUUAAGACAAUAAAUGAAUCUCGCAGAAUAUCAAGAUUUCAAGCUUCACUUACUAGUCUCGUCUUCUGAAUUCUAAUUCUGAUGUGGAAAUGCAUAAUGACUAAUGAGGUAUUUCUUGCAGCUCUCUCAAACACGUUUAUUUACCUAGUAGUACUCAUUUCUAUUCGACUGGAUAAAGUAUAGUAAUAAAUAUAAGAUUGAGUAUUGUUGUUAUCGAGAGUUAAUACCUCCUAGUUCUUCCUUUCACAUUCCUCAAGUGCAUCACAAUUGAGUAUCUGAGUCUUCUGCAAUGUCUCAGAUACUCAUACAACAGCAGCAGCAGAUUACACAUUUCAAAGCUCAUCAUAACCUCAUUUAUUGAUGAGUAAUUAUUGGAUAACAUUAUUUGCAAGUAUUGUAUAAUAAUUCAAUCUGUCACACUACAGUACAGGAUAAGAAUGAUGCUGCACCGAAACCAGAGCUUCACCUAUCACAGGGCCACUAAUUCAUAAUUAACACUAGUAAUCAACUUAAAAAUGAUAUUAGUGUACUCCAUCAUGGUACAUCCUUGAAUGUACGACAUGACUUGUUCAAUGCAAUUAUAUUUUGUCAAUUUACAGUAUCCUAAGUGGGAAGAAAUAAUAACAUAUAGUCUUAAUGUUUAUUAAAAUGCCAUGAAUAAAGUAAGCUUGAAAAUAGCACCACAUUAUAGAUAACACUGACAAAAGAAAGAAUAAAUCACAAAUAGGAACACCGUCAAACCAGGCUAAACCUCCAUCAAUGAAGAUCAUAUCGAUUUCAAAUCUUGAAUGUAGGUUUCCAUAAAACCCUUUAUCAGAAUUUCAAUUAUUGUUUGUAAACUAAAUGUGACCCUGCUAAAACUAAGAAGACAAAUAAAGCUGAAGGCAGAAAAUUGAAAAAUUGUGUUUA
Arachis ipaensis is the source of this 3555-nucleotide non-coding RNA. NCBI's taxonomy places the organism in Eukaryota, Viridiplantae, Streptophyta, Magnoliopsida, Fabales, Fabaceae. The record is from RefSeq and is a predicted model, not a curated record.